GACGAACGCUGGCGGCGUGCUUAACACAUGCAAGUCGAACGGAAAGGCCCUGCUUUUGUGGGGUGCUCGAGUGGCGAACGGGUGAGUAACACGUGAGUAACCUGCCCUUGACUUUGGGAUAACUUCAGGAAACUGGGGCUAAUACCGGAUAGGAGCUCCUGCUGCAUGGUGGGGGUUGGAAAGUUUCGGCGGUUGGGGAUGGACUCGCGGCUUAUCAGCUUGUUGGUGGGGUAGUGGCUUACCAAGGCUUUGACGGGUAGCCGGCCUGAGAGGGUGACCGGCCUCAUUGGGACUGAGAGACGGCCCAGAAUCCUACGGGAGGCAGCAGGGGGGAAUAUUGCACAAUGGGCGGAAGCCUGAUGCAGCAACGCCGCGUGCGGGAUGACGGCCUUCGGGUUGUAAACCGCUUUCGCCUGUGACGAAGCGUGAGUGACGGUAAUGGGUAAAGAAGCACCGGCUAACUACGUG
Molecule: ribosomal RNA, 468 nt
Filed under: uncultured bacterium
Lineage: Bacteria
Description: partial 16S ribosomal RNA
Rfam family: Bacterial small subunit ribosomal RNA
Source: RNAcentral